UUUGAGCAGACACAUGCACAUUUGUGGCCUGCUGGAGAUCAUUUUGCAGGGCUCUGGCAGUGCUUCUCCUUGCACAAAGGCGGUGGUAGCGGUCCUGCUGCUUGGUUGUUGCCCUCCUACGGCCUCCUCCACGUCUCCUGAUGGAGACAGGGUAGCCUAGUGGUUAGAGCAUUGGACUAGUAACCGGAAGGUUGCAAGUUCAAACCCCCCAGCUGACAAUGUACAAAUCUGUUGUUCUGCCCCUGAAUAGGCAGUUAACCUGCUGUUCCUAGGCCGUCAUUGAAAAUAAGAAUUUGUUCUUAACUGACUUGCCUGGUUAAAUAAAGAUAAAAUAAAAAAUGUACUGGCCUGUCUCCUUGUAGAGCCUCCAUAAUCUGGACACUACGUUGGCAGACACAGCAAACCUUCUUGCCACAUCUCGCAUUGACGUGCCAUCCUGGAUGAGCUGCACUACCUGAGCCACUUGUGUGGGUUGUAGACUCCGUCUCAUGCUACCACUAGAGUGAAAGCACCGCCAGCAUUCAAAAGUGACCAAAACAUCAGCCAGGAAGCAUAGGAACUGAGAAGUGGUCUGUGGUCACCACCUGCAGAACCACUCCUUUAUUGGGGGUGACUUGCUAAAUGCCUAUAGUUUCCACCUGUUGUCUAUGCCAUUUGCACAACAGCAUGUGAAAUGUAUUGUCAAUCUGUGUUGCUUCCUAAGUGGACAGUUUGAUUUCACACAAGUGUGAUUGACUUGGAGUUACAUUGUGUUGUUUAAGUGUUGUUUAAGUGUUCCCUUUAUUUUUUUGAGCAGUAUAUAUAUAUAUUUUGGAACAAAUAUUUCAUUUUUAGCUAUUUGAAAAUCGAUGUGGAAUCUUUUGCAGCUCAAGUCAACGACAAAACAUGCAAUGCUUUCUGGGCUAGCUAGCAAACGUGGCUACACACAUCAAUAGCAAAGUCAAUAUCAGCAUGUAAAGUAGCUAGUUGGCUGUAAAAUCACCUAAACAAUCUACUAUCAAUUUAGGAGUAUAUCUCACUGUUCAGUUUGCAGUUCCUCUCUGCCCAGAGUGAGUACAGAAUGCGUUAUGGCAACCAUGAUCCACGUAUCCCCACAGACACACAGUACGCAUUGCAAGAUGGUACUUGAAGGACAAAACUGAGUUGAAUAAAUUGGUACAGUGUUUUAGAUUGAGCAUAUCUAAGUGAAAUGUGUACUUUGUCAUGAUAUUUGCCCGAAAAGCCGGUCUUUGGAGGAUAUAUUGACACGGGUGUUGUUAGGUCCGAGACACUGGCUAUGAGGGAAUUAUUGAAACAAUGUUGCAAAUGUCGGAGAUACAGACCGCAAGGUUUAUACAAAUCUCCGCUGUUGAAAACUAAAUGUUAGUCUAAAAGAAAUGUGAGAAUGUCUAAAUGCUUUUUUAUAGUGGAGAUGAAGUUUAUACAUUUCCUGGCUGGGUAGAUGAGACAGUGGAUUGCGCAGUGGGAUGGAACAGAGUAAAUCGGCAUUUUAACGUCAUAGAUUUAGCCAGUUGGUAAUUUGCGGAAUAGACACCGGCUGGAUGCGGUUUUAACCAAUCAGCACUCAGGAUUAGACCCACCCGUUAUAUAUGUAAAUGAGUGGAUGCGCUCUCGACAAGUAUGCCCAUACUAUCUAUUGGCCGAUUUGGUGAUCUGGAGUGCAGGUAAUUGUUUUUAAAAGCUUUUAUGAAACGUGAUGAGAACCAUCUAGCUAUGACUCGAUCCUACACGAUUUCCUAAUUUCACAGACUGACCACUUCCAAGUUAAACCACUAGGAAUUGUUUUAUUUGCCCUACCGAUAGAACACAUGCUUUCACCAAAUUGACCAGAGUUUCAUUUAAAAAUAUAUAUAUUCUGUGGUUGGAUUAUCCUUUUAAAAUGGACUGUCUGUUUCGACUGUGGUGACCUGUUUCUUGUGUGUACUGUGCCGUUCCUAUCGAUUAGGUAUUUAGGCAGAUUUUAAAAGUGAGAAUGUCUGAGACAAACAUUUUGAAAUGUCUUGAAAUAAGCACUUGUAUGCAUGACAAAACGUGUCCCUGGCAUGUAGAUGGAUACUGAUGCUUUGUGGUCUAAUUCACUGCUCAAUAGUUUUGCCACUACAUGAUGAGGUCUAGUUUUAUUUUAGUUAAAUGUUGCUUAGUGUGUUUUUGUUUUUCUGUUAUUUUUUUUGUACAUGCAUACGUCUCCAAGAGAAUAUCACAGGACUGACAGAUCCGCUGUUGUUCCUAUGUGUAUCAGCUGCAGAAGAUUGGAUUACUCAAUACCACAAAUUAUUGGCUUGUUUUGGUCAAAUGUGAGUGACAGCUGAUGUUUUUGUUCCUAAGUCUGUCUGGAAUGUGUUGUGUUUGUUUAACCUCUUCCUUAGCUUAAGGCCCUUAAUGAAGUGAUACGUUUUAUAGGUGGGGCACAUGUCUGUAUGGGUCUAAUAGGAACCAAGGUAGAUGUCAGAUGCUCUUCUUGGAGUGGAUAUAUUUGAGUCAGUGUAUUCUUUUUUUUCUUUUUUUUUACAGUGAAGUCUUAUUUUUAUAACAUAAAGAGAACUUGAAUUAUAUUUUUGUUACAAAAUUAGUUUUAUUUCUUCACUUAUGUUAGUGCAUGUAUUUAUUAGUUGUGCAGUUUCAUACAUGCUCAUGCCUCUGCUUUGUAGAUGGCCUCUCCAAUUAACAAGCCUGUUGACACUGUAAUAAACUUGCUGUUGUCAAUAAAGAUUACAUGUAUCA
Oncorhynchus tshawytscha (Chinook salmon) is the source of this 2721-nucleotide long non-coding RNA. The record is from Ensembl. NCBI's taxonomy places the organism in Eukaryota, Metazoa, Chordata, Actinopteri, Salmoniformes, Salmonidae.